GAGUCCUGUGUUUGGAGCACCAGAAAUAAACCAGCUUCAGAAGCAAACUCCCUCCCACCUCUAUCCUUCCUUUAGCCAAGAAGUACAGAUGGAUGAGAUUCUCCUCAGAGUUUUGGGACCGGGAAGAAUGAAGCUGUGGCUGUCAAAAAUGCCUGGUGGACCUAGCGGAUGACACCUAGACAGCAUGUUUGCUGCUGUCCUCUAUGCUGACCAAGCCUCUCCUCUGCAGAUUAAAACCCCUCCGGAUCAGAGCUAGCUCUAAACAGCACCUUGUCGGUUGAGAUUUUGAGCAGUGAGCUGUCUCACUGACAGGGUCCUGCAAGGUGGGCAUACUUGGGAGCCUGAAGGAGAGGUAGAAUAUUUGCCUAACCCCACAGCUAGUAAACCCAGGACAAAUGCAUCGGCAGCUUCUCAAGGCCAGGGAGAGAGAGCACACAUCUUGCCCUAGGAAAUUCACGGACACGCUGAAAUUUGAUGGGAACUGAUCUAGCCAAAUAGGAGGAGAUCAAUUGUUUGCUAGAAUCAACAGAUCUUCCUGUUUAGUGGCUCAGUAAAAUAUCCUUGCCUCUGGGCACAAUGCACCAAGCUGGAGGAUGCCAUCAAGGAGAAGUUCUUUGCCUGAUCUCAUUGACUUUUGCGCACUUUAAGCCUAAAGGGAGCAGGAACAAGAAGCGAGAGGAAAAGGUGAAGGUUAAAGAGAACUAUUUCGGAGAUAAUAAACUCCUUCUGAAUCCUGCCAAGGCUGGCUGCACUGUUCUCUCAGAGGGAGAAGAAUAUCAGCAUGGACUCCCGCCUGUGGUCUUGAAAUAGGCAAGUCACCAAGGGACAAAGACUGUUCUGUGAGUUUGGGCUCCCUGGGGCAGCUGUUCCUGAGCUCUUACAAUGGCCCUGGCACCAGACACUGAUUCAGAGUUUUGUGGGGAGCCCAGGAAAAUUCUCACUAUUUAAACUAAGACAAGUCCAAGGCUGAAUGCCCUGUCCAUGC
This 985-nucleotide small RNA is filed under the name Pan troglodytes (chimpanzee). Its description in RNAcentral is "processed transcript". Lineage: Eukaryota; Metazoa; Chordata; Mammalia; Primates; Hominidae. The record is from RNAcentral.